UACGUAGGCGGAAAAUUAAGUCAGUAGUGAAAUCCUGCAGCUUAACUGUAGAACUGUUAUUGAUACUGGUUUUCUUGAAUUUAGUUGAGGUAGGCGGAAUGUGUAAUGUAGCGGUGAAAUGCUUAGAUAUUACACAGAACACCGAUUGCGAAGGCAGCUUACUAAGCUAUGAUUGACGCUGAGGUACGAAAGCGUGGGGAGCGAACAGGAUUAGAUACCCUGGUAGUC
Molecule: ribosomal RNA, 228 nt
Filed under: uncultured bacterium
Lineage: Bacteria
Description: partial 16S ribosomal RNA
Rfam family: Bacterial small subunit ribosomal RNA
Source: RNAcentral